Molecule: long non-coding RNA, 371 nt
Organism: Leptidea sinapis
Lineage: Eukaryota; Metazoa; Arthropoda; Insecta; Lepidoptera; Pieridae
Exons: 3
Source: RefSeq, a predicted model, not a curated record
AAUUAUUAAAAACCCUUCGACCAGAACUGUUUGGUGCGCCGCUCAUAGUCAACCAUUACCCAGUUAUGAGGGUUCUGUAAAUUUGAACGCUGUGUGUUCAUAUGUUAAGAAACGGGUGAAUAACACAUCGGACAAUCCCAAGAAGCGACUCUCUCUCAAAACAUCUUCACUACUCCAGAGUGGAAUGACUAGACUUCUUCAGAAACGCGCUGACAACUUAUUCACCGAAUGCUUCGAUGAGAACCAAUAUUCCAACGAGACUAUAGACAGUUCAACACGAUCACUAUCUGGGACAUCAACAACAACACCGUCACCACCUGGAAUAGCAACAACAACAUCACCACUAUCCUUAAUAGCAACAACAACACCAC